Molecule: long non-coding RNA, 793 nt
Filed under: Helianthus annuus (common sunflower)
Lineage: Eukaryota; Viridiplantae; Streptophyta; Magnoliopsida; Asterales; Asteraceae
Description: hypothetical non coding rna
Source: RNAcentral
UUGUAUUUAUGGUGACCACCACACCACCUCUCCUAACAUCUCCAACGGUCGCCGGUGGCAGCCAUUCUAAUGCCAAAGAGAAGGCAUACAAUAAGAUAACGUGUUAAUCAAGGAGAAAAGAUCGAUAGAUGGUGGUGUUUUAAUGUAGGCACUCACGUCUCGAGGCCAAUUGACCAGAUCUGACCACGGUUAGGGGUUCUCUGGAUAUUCAGUAAAAGGGUUUAUGUGGCUUCAAAUGUCACAUAUAUGGGUUAAGGGGUCAAGUUAUUCUACAAAUACUCCUAAUUGUAAGAAGUGUAAGAAAGAUUUAUAGUGUGACAAGGGUCCAAUAACCUAAAACAUAAACCCACUACACCACCACCCAAAACCUAAACACACACCCCUUCUCGACAAACAAUUUUUUUUGGGUGGAUGAUGGGGGGUGGGGGUGGGGGGUGGGUGGUUUAGGUUUUUGGGUGGUGGUGGGUGUUUAGGUUUUUUUUUUUUUUUUUUUUUUUUUGUAGUGGGUUUUUUUUAAAAGCCUUUGUACCCUUCUUACAAUAAGGAGCCUUUGUAUUUGAUCCUAAUCCCACAUAUACAUAUUAUUUUAUUCUUUAUGAGUUAACAUCGAAUUAGUUAGCGAAGUGGGGGUUUUAUGAUCAUAUUGGUGAUAAAUUGAAGGCGACGACGAUUAUUAGGGAUGGUAUUUCUGGUUCAUUAUCAUGGUGAUGAACUGCCGCCAUACCUUCGGCAAUGGUAUCGUAUGAUAGAAGUGAUAUUACAGUUGGUUGAAACUGGGAAGAACGAGCUGUAA